GCUCAUGAGUCAGUCGGAUCAUUUGAAUCAGUUCAACGGGUUGACAACAGGAGUUAGGUUCGACGAUAAACAAGUGCUUUUUUGGUCGACACAUGUAUUUAAAGCACGCACUCCUUCCCCUUUACAUCUGGUACAACUAGCUUUAAAAAGUAAGAGUUGGAGUUUGAAAAAUGACAGUCUGAAAUUGGCCAAAGACAUUUCCAGAUGCCAUUUCCCCAUCCUUUAAACUGUCUCCUCCUAAUAAAACAAGUGGCAAAACACCAAAAGGAAAAGAUAAUGGAAUAGCCCACUGUGCCAGAUGUGGAUGAUAAAAGAAUGGGAAGUAUAUGCAGGCACAUAUUUCGGAUUUCUAACCUGCUCUUGGCAUUAUACUUUGGCUGUAGCUGUGAUUAUAGCAACAUUUAUGUAGGAUUUUGUCUUGUUUCACGGAGUAUGUGUUGCAGUGAUUAUGAGCAGCUGAAGUGGUCUAAUACCCUGGCAGUGGUCCAGACAGUGUCCUCUAUGGCACAUAUAUUCUCAGCAGUGACUCAUUCUGGUGUUUUGAGCCUCCUGGAGGAAGCUCUCUUUCUCUCUCCGUAAUUCUUCAAGCUGAAAUACUGAGAAGAACCUCACAAUGCUGCUCUGUCCCUCAAAAACACUGAAGUCAUAGUUUCCCAGGCUGCUGCCCCCUGAGAUGCCUAGAAGUGAAGAAGCGAGAGGAGGGGCACAGAGCUUGGUAAAUUGCUUUUGCCAUGAAAAAAAAAACAGUAUAAUACAUUCUUGUGCCCCUGUUGGCAUCUUCAUUGCCCUAAUAUAGCCGAUGAUGUUCUAUAAAAUGUUCC
Molecule: long non-coding RNA, 821 nt
Organism: Sinocyclocheilus anshuiensis
Lineage: Eukaryota; Metazoa; Chordata; Actinopteri; Cypriniformes; Cyprinidae
Exons: 4
Source: RefSeq, a predicted model, not a curated record